AACGAACGCUGGCGGCAGGCCUAACACAUGCAAGUCGAGCGGACCUUUCGGGGUCAGCGGCGGACGGGUGAGUAACGCGUGGGAAUAUGCCCUUCUCUACGGAAUAGUCCUGGGAAACUGGGGGUAAUACCGUAUACGCCCUUUGGAGGAAAGAUUUAUCGGGGAAGGAUUAGCCCGCGUUGGAUUAGGUAGUUGGUGGGGUAAUGGCCUACCAAGCCGACGAUCCAUAGCUGGUUUGAGAGGAUGAUCAGCCACACUGGGACUGAGACACGGCCCAGACUCCUACGGGAGGCAGCAGUGGGGAAUCUUAGAAAAUGGGGGCAACCCUGAUCUAGCCAUGCCGCGUGAGUGAUGAAGGCCUUAGGGUUGUAAAGCUCUUUCAGCUGGGAAGAUAAUGACGGUACCAGCAGAAGAAGCCCCGGCUAACUCCGUG
Molecule: ribosomal RNA, 433 nt
Filed under: uncultured bacterium
Lineage: Bacteria
Description: partial 16S ribosomal RNA
Rfam family: Bacterial small subunit ribosomal RNA
Source: RNAcentral